GACGAACGCUGGCGGCGUGCUUAACACAUGCAAGUCGAACGGAAAGGCCCUGCUUUUGUGGGGUGCCCGAGUGGCGAACGGGUGAGUAACACGUGAGUAACCUGCCCUUGACUUUGGGAUAACUUCAGGAAACUGGGGCUAAUACCGGAUAGGAGCUCCUGCUGCAUGGUGGGGGUUGGAAAGUUUCGGCGGUUGGGGAUGGACUCGCGGCUUAUCAGCUUGUUGGUGGAGUAGUGGCUUACCAAGGCUUUGACGGGUAGCCGGCCUGAGAGGGUGACCGGCCACAUUGGGACUGAGAUACGGCCCAGACUCCUACGGGAGGCAGCAGUGGGGAAUAUUGCACAAUGGGCGGAAGCCUGAUGCAGCAACGCCGCGUGCGGGAUGACGGCCUUCGGGUUGUAAACCGCUUUCGCCUGUGACGAAGCGUGAGUGACGGUAAUGGGUAAAGAAGCACCGGCUAACUACGUG
RNAcentral lists this ribosomal RNA (468 nucleotides) under uncultured bacterium. Its description in RNAcentral is "partial 16S ribosomal RNA". It matches the Rfam family "Bacterial small subunit ribosomal RNA", at positions 28 to 507 of the family's 1533-position model. The record is from RNAcentral.